RNAcentral lists this ribosomal RNA (157 nucleotides) under Cladosporium sp. Its description in RNAcentral is "5.8S ribosomal RNA". It matches the Rfam family "5.8S ribosomal RNA". From Rfam's summary of the family: 5.8S ribosomal RNA (5.8S rRNA) is a component of the large subunit of the eukaryotic ribosome. It is transcribed by RNA polymerase I as part of the 45S precursor that also contains 18S and 28S rRNA. The record is from RNAcentral. Lineage: Eukaryota; Fungi; Ascomycota; Dothideomycetes; Cladosporiales; Cladosporiaceae.
AACUUUCAACAACGGAUCUCUUGGUUCUGGCAUCGAUGAAGAACGCAGCGAAAUGCGAUAAGUAAUGUGAAUUGCAGAAUUCAGUGAACCAUCGAAUCUUUGAACGCACAUUGCGCCCCCUGGUAUUCCGGGGGGCAUGCCUGUUCGAGCGUCAUUU